This 388-nucleotide ribosomal RNA is filed under the name uncultured eukaryote. Its description in RNAcentral is "partial 18S ribosomal RNA". It matches the Rfam family "Eukaryotic small subunit ribosomal RNA", at positions 592 to 976 of the family's 1831-position model. The record is from RNAcentral.
CAAUAGCGUAUAUUAAAGUUGUUGCAGUUAAAAAGCUCGUAGUUGGAUUUCUGAUCGAGACAUCAGGUCGGGUCCGAGAGGAUCAUGUACUUUGAUUUUGUUUUGAUCAUCCUUGGGGAGAGCAUUUCUGGCAUUCAGUUGUCGGGAUUGGGAUCCUCAUCGUUUACUGUGAAAAAAUUAGAGUGUUCAAAGCAGGCCUCGGCCUCUGAAUACAUUGGCAUGGAAUAAUAAGAUAGGACUUUGGUGGUCUAUUUUGUUGGUUUGCACGCCAAAGUAAUGAUUAAUAGGGAUAGUUGGGGGUAUUCGUAUUCAAUUGUCAGAGGUGAAAUUCUUGGAUUUAUGGAAGACGAACUACUGCGAAAGCAUUUACCAAGGAUGUUUUCAUUAA